GACGAACGUUGGCGGCGUGCUUAAUACAUGCAAGUCAACUGAAGCAGUGGUAGCAAUAUCGCUGUGGAGGUGGCGCACGGGUGAGUAACGCGUAGGUAAUCUGCCUUCAGGUCUGGCAUAACUCCGGGAAACCGGGGCUAAUAGCAGAUGAUGCAGCGGCUCGACAUCGAGACAGUUGUUAAAGCUAUGGCGCCUGAAGAUGAGCCUGCGUCUGAUUAGCUAGUUGGCGGGGUAACGGCCCACCAAGGCAACGAUCAGUAGCUGGUCUGAGAGGAUGAUCAGCCACACUGGAACUGAGACACGGUCCAGACUCCUACGGGAGGCAGCAGUAAGGAAUAUUGCUCAAUGGGAGAAAUCCUGAAGCAGCAACGCCGCGUGAGGGACGAAGGGCUUUUGCUUGUAAACCUCUGUAGUGAGAGAAAAAAUCCCAAUCUUUGGGACAUGAUGGUAUCUCAAAAGUAAGCCCCGGCUAACUACGUG
Molecule: ribosomal RNA, 480 nt
Filed under: uncultured bacterium
Lineage: Bacteria
Description: partial 16S ribosomal RNA
Rfam family: Bacterial small subunit ribosomal RNA
Source: RNAcentral